CCCUCCCUUUCUCAUAGCCCUGAUUUGAUUCCCAUAUUGUUUUUCAAUUUUUCAUCUUCCCUCCCUUUCCCAUAGCCCUGAUUUGAUUCCCAUAUUGUUUUUCAAUUUUUCAUCUUUCCUCCCUUUCCCAUCCCUGAUUUGAUUCCCAUCCAAAUAGAUACCUUUACAGCAGUUGAGGAGAAAAGCAGUAGCCGCCACUAAGGGCCGACCACCAUCGCUGCACCCCAAUGACCGUCGACCGCCCUUCCUUUCCUCUAAUCUAUUGGCAUCGCUGUUUGCAGAAUGGGAGAUGAAUGAGCCCGGGGCUAAGCGCCCUAAAUUCAGCAUGUUGGUUCAGUCGAGACUCUUGUCAUUUCCUUUAUACGACCCACAAUUUCAGAAUAACAUGAACCUUGUUUGGUCAUUGGUGUAUGCGAUUUUGGGGUCGAAUCAACUAGAAGAAGUUAGAUACUUUGCAAGAUUCAGUCAUGCGCUCCACAUGUUUGAUGAAACGUCUCAAUGAAACUUUUUUGUAUAAAUUUCAUUAUCAUUUCCCUUUGCUGAUAAUGUGAGGGCUACUUUAAUUUGAGGAAAUGUUUGAAGGUUUAGUAAGGCAGCUAAUUUUAGGUUAUCUUGGGCAAUAUAUUAAUGAUAUACACAGGGAGCAUCUCAAGAUUACACUCUAGAAUGGCUCUGGUGUAACUACAGAUGAAGAGACGAGUUCUGCAGCCAAAAUUAUGGUUAUUUCGGUUAUACCGUUUGCGUUCUUCCUAAUUAUCGAAAUAUCUUUUGGCGUGUCUUAGGGCUACAUCUUCAUGAUUCCUCUGUUUGUCUCAUUUAUGUUCUUGAUGGUAUACUUUAUAUGAUGUGUGAGCCUUCGGUCCAAAAAAGGCGACUAUCAUACGUGAAACACGAGCGUUUAGUUGUGAACAUACUAAAACAUCUGCAAGAGCACACUGCAGAACAAGUACUCACUAAAGAUGGUUCAGUAAACCUACCUGUUAUAGAACGGUUAGAUUCGCGUUCAUUUUCAUAUUUAUCCUCCAUUUAUACUUUCCUUUGCUUUUUAUUUAUUUGUAUUCUUUUAUUGUUUCGCAAGCUAUUUACAAUGAUCGAUCAAGAUGGCGAUAGCUACAUAUCUUUUCCCGAACUAAAAGCAAUUCUUCAAGAUAUCAAGUUCAGUCGAUUAACUUGGAACAAGGAGAAAACACUUGAAGAAAUAAUGAAAGAAUUCGAUAAAGAUGACUAUCGUAGAGUAACUAAGGAUGAAUUUGUAGAAAUAUUAAAGAAAAUGGCUCGACGAGACCAAAAAUGCAGUGGACAAACGACCAUAUCAAUCGGUUAGAUCGUGGAGGGACUUAUAUCAGAUUAUCCACCCAUGGUAUGAUUGGUAUCAGACCAAAAAGAAAGAAGAAACGGCGAUGAAGAUCCUUAUAACCGACACGUCCAAAGCUUACAACUAGAAAAUUUUUACAACGAAGAUGGAACACCAAAUAUAUCUGCAAUAAAAAGGUCCAUGGUAUUGGUUCUACGGUCCGGUCCCUAACAACCCUUUAUCAGUUGACCAUAUAUCAUUUGAAAGAAGCUAAUGGUAUCUACUAGUAUCAUUGCUUUGAAAGAGUUAAUAUGAAGAUCAUUUUAUUUGCAUGAAGAUUGUGAAAGAGGUUCAUGAUUGCGAAGCUUCAAGUUUUUUAUUCAAACAUGUGUUAGUUUGUAUUCUAUAUGUUUGCUAUUUAGACUUUAAUUGACACUUAUGUGAUGUUUUAAUAUGUUUGGAACAUGAUCUAACUUUUAAUUGAAGUAAUGAUAUUACAAUUUAUGCA
Helianthus annuus (common sunflower) is the source of this 1802-nucleotide long non-coding RNA. RefSeq lists it as uncharacterized. The transcript is spliced from 8 exons. Lineage: Eukaryota; Viridiplantae; Streptophyta; Magnoliopsida; Asterales; Asteraceae. The record is from RefSeq and is a predicted model, not a curated record.